This is an RNA transcript of Abrus precatorius (Indian licorice), 1546 nucleotides long. It is a transcript of the gene named histidine-containing phosphotransfer protein 1-like, with no coding region annotated. Lineage: Eukaryota; Viridiplantae; Streptophyta; Magnoliopsida; Fabales; Fabaceae. The record is from RefSeq and is a predicted model, not a curated record. The transcript has 7 exons.
AGAAAGAGGAGUAUCGGGGAGGGGAUGGCAUGUCCGUUCUGUCGACCCGCGCUGCCAAGUGCCACUGGACGUUGGCUAGGAAGGGACACAACACACUCCCUCUCAUGCCCGCAUGUCAUGGGAUUGUUAAUGACCAAUUCUGCCAACUCCAAUCCAUGAAGGAGUCUGUUCAACGAGACUAUGUUGUGAGAGCUGUCACCUGCUUCUGCUUUGCUUGCAUUAAUUUGUUCUCUACUCUGACCGAUCAAAUCUACCAGCAACAGGUUGAUUUUCAAAAGGUUCAUGUUCUGGCCUGUGAACUAUAUGCAAGAACCACCGGUGUUGGUGCAGAGAACAUGAGGCGUGCAUGUGCUGAACUUCUUUAUGCUUGUGAGAUGAAAGACAAGAAUCAUUGCUAUCAGGCUCUUUAUUGGAUCAAGAAUGAAUUUUUUUAUUUGAGGAGAAAACUUGAAAUCCUUGUGCAGAUGGAGAGGCGAAUCAUUGAUCUUGAGAACAUGCAAAGAAACGAAUGAAUCACUUAUGACAGCAAUUGCUGAAGCAUAUCUGGUUGGAAUAUCAGAUAUGCUUUUUGGGCUUCAUUUGUCGGUUUAUCUACUGUAGCCUCAGGUAACCAUUAUGAUGCCAAGUUUCAAAGAAGUUGGAGGAUGGUUUCCCAGAAAAAUGUUUUAGAUGGUAAUAUUUUAAUUUCAAAAUUGUUUUUUGUUAUUUUAAAAACAAAAUUUUAACUACUAAUUAAGUUAAUUAACAUUUCUUUUGUGGUGAUAAUUUUUUUACUUGUGAUUUUCUUAGUAUAGUUUUGGUUUGAUGUUUGAUGAAAUGUAUUUGUUGAUAAAUGUAUUAGACCUGAUCUCUCAACAUGAUCUCCAUUAACGUGGAAAAAAAAAAGAGGCAUAAGCACAAUGACCCUCAUUGUUUGAAUGUUGGAUUGAUGGAGGAGAAAUGGAGGAAUAAAAAUGAAAAAAAAAAAUUAUCUCCUUCAUUGGUAAGAUGAGAGGAAAAAAUUUAUUUUUUAAUAUUCAUGUAGCAUUUUCAAUAAACAUAAGGCUUUUUGUCUAAUUAUAUAUCAAUUUGGUUUGGGACUUAUUGGGCUAGUAGUGGAAUAAUACAAAAGUGAACUUGUGAUUUAGGCUGAGAUCUAGUAAGCUUUGUUAUGGUGUGUAAUGGUCCAAAUCCAAAGUCAGUUGGAGUGACGAGAAGCGGCAAAUCCAAAAAGACUUUGAGGGAAAGGGUGAAAAAUAAAGACUUCAAUAUGUGUAAUACGUUCUUUUGUAUAUAUUAAAAAUAUCUUUUAGUUAAUUAUUAGAGACUCAUUCCUUUUAAAACAUACAUAUUAUUAAAAUAAAUAUAACUUCUUCCUUAGUUAAUAUACUUUUUUUUAUUGACUGUGUUGAUCUUAUAAAUAUUUAUUUUUACUUCCUUAGCUAGGACCCACACCUGCCCCUUAAAUCUGUCCCUAAUUAUGAGGUGAGGCAGUUAUUUCAUUUGACUUGAGUUGUGACAUUGAGUCUAUUCUAAAUGGCAGUGCAUGAGCUCACUUUGAAACAAG